GACGAACGCUGGCGGCGUGCUUAACACAUGCAAGCCGAACGGAAAGGCUCUGCUUUUGUGGGGUGCUCGAGUGGCGAACGGGUGAGUAACACGUGAGUAACCUGCCCUUGACUUUGGGAUAACUUCAGGAAACUGGGGCUAAUACCGGAUAGGAGCUCCUGCUGCAUGGUGGGGGUUGGAAAGUUUCGGCGGUUGGGGAUGGACUCGCGGCUUAUCAGCUUGUUGGUGGGGUAGUGGCUUACGAAGGCUUUGACGGGUAGCCGGCCUGAGAGGGUGACCGGGGGCAGUGGGGCUGAGGGAGGGCGCGGACGCGUACGGGAGGCAGCAGUGGGGAAUGUUGCACAAUGGGCGGAAGCCUGAUGCAGCAACGCCGCGUGCGGGAUGACGGCCUUCGGGUUGUAAACCGCUUUCGCCUGUGACGAAGCGUGAGUGACGGUAAUGGGUAAAGAAGCACCGGCUAACUACGUG
This 468-nucleotide ribosomal RNA is filed under the name uncultured bacterium. RNAcentral's name for it is "partial 16S ribosomal RNA". It matches the Rfam family "Bacterial small subunit ribosomal RNA", at positions 28 to 507 of the family's 1533-position model. The record is from RNAcentral.